This 1124-nucleotide long non-coding RNA is filed under the name Marmota monax (woodchuck). Lineage: Eukaryota; Metazoa; Chordata; Mammalia; Rodentia; Sciuridae. The record is from RNAcentral.
AGCUCUUGUGGGAUGCUUUCUCCUGGAGUAUAGAUGGGAUCAGUGACAUGCUUUUAACCAAUAGAAUUUGGAAAAGAUGGAAUGUACAUGAUUAGAUGCACAUGAUUAUGUUACAUAUGAUUGUAACAUUGAUCUUGCAAGGAAACUCUCUCCCUUUCAGUCUUUGAGGAAGAAAGAAGCCAUUUUGGGAAGACUCACAUGGCAAGAACUGAUGGCAAUCUAUGACCAACAGCUGGCAAGAAACAGAGGCCAUCUGUCUAGUAGCCUGCAAAGUAAAGAGUAUUGCCAACAACCACGUGAACUUGGAAGUGGGUCCUUCCCCAUUUGAACCUUGGAUAAAAUCACAGCUCUGGCUGACACAAUGAAGUUUGCAGCCUUGUGAGACCCCAGGCAUAGAACUCAGCUAAAUUGUGCCCAGACACUUGACUUGCAGGGGCUUUGAGAUAAUAGAUAUGUAUUAUUUUAAGCAGCUAAAUUCUGGUAAUAUUGUUAUGUGGCAAUAAGUAACUAAUACAGAUUUUCAUUCCUGCACAUAAUAAUUAUAAUAUUCUGAGAACAGAGUUAUAAAAGAUUUUGCAAUCUUUAAAUUCUGGAAAAAUAACAGUUUACUAUUUUACUAAAGGUGCUGUUGACUAAUAUGGCAUUAUGUAAAAAUGUGGAUGUGUAACCGAUGUGAUUCUGCAAUUUGUAUUUGGGGUAAAAAUGGGAGUUCAUAACCCACUUGAAGCAAAUGUAUGAAAGAUGAUAUGUCAUGAGCUUUGUAAUGUUUUGAACAACCAAUACAAAAAAAAGGUGCUGUUGAAAGUAUUUCUCAAAGUCAAAGCAGAUAAUUUUCAUCAUUCUGUAGAAUAAUAAAUGUUGCUGAAUAUACUGUUUUUAUAGUUUCCUAUUAAAAUUCAAGAGUUAUUAUAUACCAUGUUGGGAAUAUGUGUCAGUGGAGAUUCUGUCUACAGGUUUAGUUUUAAUUUUGGUAAAAUAUGAUAUUAAAUUUGCUAUCUUAACCAUCUUAAGUGGUACAAUCAUCUGAAUUUGAAACUCUACCCAUUAAACAAAAACACUUUUCUUCCUUCUACUCCCUGUUCUACUUUAUGUUUCUACAAAUUCUACUUUAUGUUUCUACAAAU